This 895-nucleotide small RNA is filed under the name Scopulariopsis sp. BMU04915. RNAcentral's name for it is "eukaryotic LSU rRNA". It matches the Rfam family "Eukaryotic large subunit ribosomal RNA", at positions 23 to 945 of the family's 3401-position model. The record is from RNAcentral. Lineage: Eukaryota; Fungi; Ascomycota; Sordariomycetes; Microascales; Microascaceae.
ACCCGCUGAACUUAAGCAUAUCAAUAAGCGGAGGAAAAGAACAACAGGGAUUGCCCCAGUAACGGCGAGUGAAGCGGCAACAGCUCAAAUUUGAAAUCUGGCCCCCCCCGCGGGGUCCGAGUUGUAAUUUGAAGAGGAUGCUUCUGGCGAGGCGCCGUCCGAGUUCCCUGGAACGGGACGCCGCAGAGGGUGAGAGCCCCGUACGGUCGGACGCCGAGCCUAUGUGAAGCUCCUUCGACGAGUCGAGUAGUUUGGGAAUGCUGCUCAAAAUGGGAGGUAAACCCCUUCUAAAGCUAAAUACCGGCCAGAGACCGAUAGCGCACAAGUAGAGUGAUCGAAAGAUGAAAAGCACUUUGAAAAGAGAGUUAAAAAGCACGUGAAAUUGUUGAAAGGGAAGCGCUUGCGACCAGACUCGCGCCCGUCGGAUCAGCCGUCGCUCGUCGGCGGCGCACUCCGGCGGGCUCGGGCCAGCAUCGGUUCGCCUCGGGGGGAGAAAGGCGGCGGGAAUGUGGCUCUACGGAGUGUUAUAGCCCGCCGUGCAAUACCCCCGGGCGGACCGAGGACCGCGCGUAUGCAAGGAUGCUGGCGUAAUGGUCGUCAGCGACCCGUCUUGAAACACGGACCAAGGAGUCGUCCUAAUAUGCGAGUGUUCGGGUGUAAAACCCCUGCGCGUAAUGAAAGUGAACGGAGGUGAGAGCUUCGGCGCAUCAUCGACCGAUCCUGAUGUUCUCGGAUGGAUUUGAGUAAGAGCAUAUUGGGCCGGACCCGAAAGAAGGUGAACUAUGCCUGUAUAGGGUAAAGCCAGAGGAAACUCUGGUGGAGGCUCGCAGCGGUUCUGACGUGCAAAUCGAUCGUCAAAUAUGGGCAUGGGGGCGAAAGACUAAUCGAACCUUCU